CCUGAGGCCAAGGCUUAUGUGCUACAACUUAAUUAGGGAGGGCAAUUCCCUAGUAGGGAUCGGGAAUUAGGGAAAAGUAGAGUGAGGCAGGGAAGGAGGGAAAUGCAAUUGGAGGAUAGCUAUUAAGAACAACUGAUCCCUUGAUCUUGGGGAACUGUUAUUGAAAGGGAUAUAUAUGAUUGCUUCUCAGGACAGUCCUCUGAUGUGUUAAAGGGAGAAUUAGUUGUUGGCUCCUGUUUCCCUUUGGUCAAAGAAUCUUUCCAGUGGGUGUUAAUCCUCCUGCACUCCCUGAAUGUACAUAUGCAGACAUACCCAGCAUCAACGGGAAAGCUGCGGGACAGGAUGUCAGAGGUGUGCAUGAAGUGAGGUGCUAUUGGCAUGCACUGAGUGAAGUUGGUUGAAAUUUACACAGAGUUGGCUGCCACAAUAUGGGCUGAGCUGGAACAAGAGGUCAGAGGCCACAGAGAAAGAGAUCAUCAACUGCAGUUGCAAAAUCCAUCAUGAUAUUUGCUGUAAACAGGAUAUCUAAUUCAGCUGGAGCAUCUCCAUAAAGAUUGUUCUAGGCCUCUCUGGGGAUCUUCAAUGUCCCAGGGCAAACUCUUCACUGUCAACUCUUUUCUGAGUGCAAAGAAGAUGAUAAAAUAUAAUCACGAAAAGUCAGAUGAAAACACAAGCCUCCAGGAAAGUUGCAGCCAACCAAUUUCACAAUCUUGUUCCAGGAGUGCCUGACCCAGGUUUCAAAAGAGAAGGGAAAAGAAACACUUGGGAAAAAUGGAAGUUUCAUCUCUGGCCUGCAUUACAGCUUCUGGCAUAUUUUUAGAUGCCAAUAAGUAAUGUCAAAGAAACAGCUGUUAAAAUGAUCCUGCUUAACAGCCAUAAAGGAAUGAAGAUUUCCACAGAGAGCUUUAUCAGUCUCCGUGGAGCUGCCAUUUCCUGCUGACUGCGAGACAAGAUGGAGUGCCAGAUUGUCAUUUAGUUUAACUCCAUGGAAAUGAGGCAAGGGAAUCUGACCAUGAUUAAACCUUUGCAUCCAGCAAAAGAACACAGGGCAAUCAAGGAAACCUUCUGCUGGCCCUCGGGGGACAGACUGUUGACACGUCUGGAGGAGCUAAACCAACAACUUAAAGAAAUAAAUAAAUGACCUAACACCUCCUGCUGGAACCUGUGACCUCUCUUUGCCGUUCUUGUAAUGUGCCAUUGAUUGGCCAGUCGGAAGGGACACUGUUUCAGCAGCCUGCUGUCCAUGAGAGAAUGACUUCUUUCUCCGCUUGGUGUGUCAGUUGACCCCUCAGGAGGUAUGGCUGAGAGUUCAGCAUCAAAUGGCUUUUAACACCUGGGUUUCAUUCUGAAUCUCCCUCAAGUCCCAGCAGUAAUGAAGCAAUUGUAUGUCCUGCCAUAAUAAAUCUGAAUCAAAGUGAAGCCAGUACCCCCUUCCUUCCAGGGAGCAGAGUAUAUCAGUUAAGACAGACUAGGAGCAUUUUGUGCAGUGCUCUGAUCAGAAGGAUGGAAGCUCCAUCCUUUGGCAGAGAGCAGUUCUGAGUGCUUUUCCUGUGCAGGUUGCCAUUUGUAUUAGAAAUUUGACUGCAAAAGAGUUUAAGCAUUAUUGGUGAAUUUCUAAUCCUUUAUUUCAAAGUUCUUGCUUCAGCGAUGUCUUAUUUAUUUAUUUAUUUAUUUAUUUAUUUAUUUUUGCAUUUAGAAUUAAUUCAACUGCAAAAAAAGUGCACAUCUACCAAAUAUCAAGCAUUGCAUUAGAUACCAGGGGUCUUAAGAAGGAUAAGUAGGACAUGGAUUUUUUUCUCAAAGAAAUUUUAUUGUCUGUUUGUGUUAUCUGAAUUCAGAAUGCCAUUGCCUCAUUAGCCUGUUUCAUUGUAUUUGUAGUAUUUGUCAAUGUCAGACAGUCUUUUAUUUAUUUAUUAAUGUACUUGUCCAUUUCCCCAACCAGAAUGAAGCUCCGCAAAGGCAUGUAUUGUGUCUGUUUUGCUUAUUACUGUGUUAUCAGAUCUGGAAUAGUGCCUUGACACAGUGUAGACAUCCAUUAAGA
This 2041-nucleotide long non-coding RNA is filed under the name Homo sapiens (human). Its description in RNAcentral is "HSALNT0109626". Lineage: Eukaryota; Metazoa; Chordata; Mammalia; Primates; Hominidae. The record is from RNAcentral.